RNAcentral lists this ribosomal RNA (330 nucleotides) under uncultured eukaryote. RNAcentral describes it as "partial 18S ribosomal RNA". It matches the Rfam family "Eukaryotic small subunit ribosomal RNA", at positions 1470 to 1796 of the family's 1831-position model. The record is from RNAcentral.
CCCUUAGGUGUUCGGGGCCGCACGCGCGCUACACUGAAGGAAUCAGCACGUCUUUCUCCUUGUCCGAAAGGACUGGGUAACCCGCUGAACCUCCUUCGUGCUAGGGAUUGGGGCUUGUAAUUCUUCCCCAUGAACGAGGAAUUCCCAGUAAGCGCGAGUCAUAAGCUCGCGUUGAUUACGUCCCUGCCCUUUGUACACACCGCCCGUCGCUACUACCGAUUGGAUGGUUUAGUGAGAUCCUCGGAUUGGUCCCGGAGCGGCCUCUGGUCGUGCCGGAGUGCCGAAAAGAAUGUCGAACUUGAUCAUCUAGAGGAAGUAAAAGUCGUAACA